RNAcentral lists this transfer RNA (71 nucleotides) under Saccharomyces cerevisiae (brewer's yeast). It matches the Rfam family "tRNA". Rfam says of the family: Transfer RNA (tRNA) molecules are approximately 80 nucleotides in length. Their secondary structure includes four short double-helical elements and three loops (D, anti-codon, and T loops). Further hydrogen bonds mediate the characteristic L-shaped molecular structure. tRNAs have two regions of fundamental functional importance: the anti-codon, which is responsible for specific mRNA codon recognition, and the 3' end, to which the tRNAs corresponding amino acid is attached (by aminoacyl-tRNA synthetases). tRNAs cope with the degeneracy of the genetic code in two manners: having more than one tRNA (with a specific anti-codon) for a particular amino acid; and 'wobble' base-pairing, i.e. permitting non-standard base-pairing at the 3rd anti-codon position. The record is from RNAcentral. Lineage: Eukaryota; Fungi; Ascomycota; Saccharomycetes; Saccharomycetales; Saccharomycetaceae.
GGGCACAUGGCGCAGUUGGUAGCGCGCUUCCCUUGAAUGAAGAGUCAUCGGUUCGAUUCCGGUUGCGUCCA